Molecule: ribosomal RNA, 471 nt
Filed under: uncultured Roseococcus sp.
Lineage: Bacteria; Pseudomonadati; Pseudomonadota; Alphaproteobacteria; Acetobacterales; Roseomonadaceae
Description: bacterial SSU rRNA
Rfam family: Bacterial small subunit ribosomal RNA
Source: RNAcentral
UAGAGUUUGAUCAUGGCUCAGAGCGAACGCUGGCGGAAUGCUUAACACAUGCAAGUCGCACGGGCAGCAAUGUCAGUGGCGGACGGGUGAGUAACGCGUAGGAACGUGUCCGAGGGUGGGGGAUAACGCUGGGAAACUGGCGCUAAUACCGCAUAUGAGCUGAGGCUCAAAGCCGAGAGGCGCCCAUGGAGCGGCCUGCGUCCGAUUAGCUAGUUGGUGGGGUAAAGGCUUACCAAGGCGACGAUCCCUAGCUGGUUUGAGAGGAUGAUCAGCCACACUGGGACUGAGACACGGCCCAGACUCCUACGGGAGGCAGCAGUGGGGAAUCUUAGACAAUGGGGGAAACCCUGAUCUAGCCAUGCCGCGUGAGCGAUGAAGGCCUUAGGGUUGUAAAGCUCUUUCAGCUGGGAAGAUAAUGACGGUACCAGCAGAAGAAGCCCCGGCUAACUCCGUGCCAGCAGCCGCGGUAAU